GUGGGGAAUUUUGGACAAUGGGCGCAAGCCUGAUCCAGCAAUGCCGCGUGCAGGAAGAAGGCCUUCGGGUUGUAAACUGCUUUUGUACGGAACGAAACGGUCCUGGUUAAUACCUGGGGCUAAUGACGGUACCGUAAGAAUAAGCACCGGCUAACUACGUGCCAGCAGCCGCGGUAAUACGUAGGGUGCGAGCGUUAAUCGGAAUUACUGGGCGUAAAGCGUGCGCAGGCGGUGCUGUAAGACAGGCGUGAAAUCCCCGGGCUCAACCUGGGAAUUGCGCUUGUGACUGCAGCGCUGGAGUGUGGCAGAGGGGGAUGGAAUUCCGCGUGUAGCAGUGAAAUGCGUAGAUAUGCGGAGGAACACCGAUGGCGAAGGCAAUCCCCUGGGCCUGCACUGACGCUCAUGCACGAAAGCGUGGGGAGCAAACAGGAUUAGAUCCCCGAGUAGUCC
This 450-nucleotide ribosomal RNA is filed under the name uncultured bacterium. RNAcentral's name for it is "partial 16S ribosomal RNA". It matches the Rfam family "Bacterial small subunit ribosomal RNA", at positions 354 to 796 of the family's 1533-position model. The record is from RNAcentral.